UAAAUAGCUAGGCUUAACUUCGGUUAGGUCGUCAGCUUCUUAGAGGGACUAUCGGUGUUUAACCGAUGGAAGUUUGAGGCAAUAACAGGUCUGUGAUGCCCUUAGAUGUUCUGGGC
This 116-nucleotide ribosomal RNA is filed under the name Glomus sp. RNAcentral's name for it is "partial small subunit ribosomal RNA". It matches the Rfam family "Eukaryotic small subunit ribosomal RNA", at positions 1352 to 1487 of the family's 1831-position model. Lineage: Eukaryota; Fungi; Glomeromycota; Glomeromycetes; Glomerales; Glomeraceae. The record is from RNAcentral.